UACGAAGGGGGCUAGCGUUGUUCGGAAUCACUGGGCGUAAAGCGCACGUAGGCGGAUUGUUAAGUCGGGGGUGAAAUCCUGAGGCUCAACCUCAGAACUGCCUUCGAUACUGGCGAUCUUGAGGCCGGAAGAGGAUGGUGGAACAGCGAGUGUAGAGGUGAAAUUCGUAGAUAUUCGCUAGAACACCGGUGGCGAAGGCGGCCAUCUGGUCCGGUACUGACGCUGAGGUGCGAAAGCGUGGGGAGCAAACAGG
RNAcentral lists this ribosomal RNA (253 nucleotides) under uncultured bacterium. RNAcentral describes it as "partial 16S ribosomal RNA". It matches the Rfam family "Bacterial small subunit ribosomal RNA", at positions 524 to 776 of the family's 1533-position model. The record is from RNAcentral.